GUUUACAAACAGGAAUGUGCAAAUGUACAUCUUGAACGAAGUGACAUGUACUAAAACGACGGAGGAAAGAAUUUUUGCCGGUGCCAAAACGUGAAAAAUACUUUCCUUAGAAUAUGUGAUGGUUGCUGAAUCAUGUAAAGAAGAAUAACUAAUGGCGCUGUAUGGUUACAUGAGUUAUGGGACAGCUACCGACGCCUAAAUCGAGGACAUAUUUAAAUCGCUUCCAAUCAUCCUUCAGAUGGUUUCUGCACCAUGUAAAGAAGAAUUACUAAUGCCACUGUAUGAUGGUUGCAGCAGCAUCUAAGGAAGAAUUACUAAUCAUAUGUUGGAAGCUUUUGAGAAGCAUGGUGCGCUGCGGGGAAAAAACUCAUAAAGACUGGAAAUGUAAAGAAAAGUGACAUCUAAACUCAGUGAACAAAUGCCAUGAGAAAUGAAUGGCUUGUCUACUUAAAAUGAAAUUUAAUGGUUGUUUUACUGAAAAUUUUACGUUUUUCACAUAUCACAAUAUAUGAUACUAUGUCCUCUUCGUUGUGACAUCUCCUUUCAAAAGCACACUCGCAAAAUGUUUAAGUCUAAAAUAUGGAGCAGGACACCAUUUCAACACGAAACUGAAACCAUGAUCUCACAGUUCCCUGGUGUUUUUCAGUAUAAAUCGAUGGCACAAACAGAUGCUGCUAAGCGAAGACCUACAAAGUUUACGUGAGGCGUUAAAUACAGACAUUAAGAAAUGAAGUGAUAUGAUAGUGACAUAGGUACUAACAACACAACUAAGCAGCAUAAACUAAUAUCAACGCCUUGAGCUAUAUUAAUUUAACCUUACCAGUGUAUUCUUAAGGACAUAAAUAAUAAUAAAUCAACGAAGACGU
Schistocerca serialis cubense is the source of this 866-nucleotide long non-coding RNA. RefSeq lists it as uncharacterized. The transcript has 3 exons. The record is from RefSeq and is a predicted model, not a curated record. Lineage: Eukaryota; Metazoa; Arthropoda; Insecta; Orthoptera; Acrididae.